This 1495-nucleotide ribosomal RNA is filed under the name metagenome. Its description in RNAcentral is "bacterial SSU rRNA". It matches the Rfam family "Bacterial small subunit ribosomal RNA". The record is from RNAcentral.
AGAGUUUGAUCCUGGCCCAGAAUGAACGCUGGCGGCGUGCUUAACACAUGCAAGUCGAACGAGAAAGCCCCUUCGGGGGUGAGUAGAGUGGCGAACGGGUGAGUAACGCGUAAGAAUUUGCCCUUCAGUGAAGAAUACCUCCGGGAAACCGGGGCUAAUACUGCAUAAUUCCCUCCGGGGACAAAGGUGGCCUCUUGCUACCGCUGAAGGAUAAGCUUGCGUACUAUUAGCUAGUUGGUGAGGUAAAAGCUCACCAAAGCUAUGAUGGUUAGCCGGCCUGAGAGGGUGAUCGGCCACAUUGGGACUGAGAUACGGCCCAGACUCCUACGGGAGGCAGCAGUGGGGAAUAUUGCACAAUGGACGAAAGUCUGAUGCAGCGACGCCGCGUGGAGGAUGAAGGUUUUAGGAUUGUAAACUCCUGUUAAGAGGGAAGAAAGAGGCGCGGUUAAUACCCGUGCAAGAUGACGGUACCUCUAAAGAAAGCUCCGGCUAACUUCGUGCCAGCAGCCGCGGUAAUACGAAGGGAGCUAGCGUUAUUCGGAUUUACUGGGCGUAAAGGGCGCGUAGGCGGUUUGUUAAGUCAGUUGUUUAAGCCCAUGGCUUACCCAUGGAAGAGCAAUUGAUACUGGCGAACUAGAGGGCAAGAGAGAGGAGUGGAAUUCCCGGAGUAGCGGUAAAAUGCGUAGAUCUCGGGAGGAACACCGAUUGCGAAGGCAGCUCUUUGGCUUGUCCCUGACGCUGAGGCGCGAAAGCGUGGGGAGCAAACAGGAUUAGAUACCCUGGUAGUCCACGCCGUAAACGAUGAUCACUAGAUGUUGGUUUUGCUUGCAAGAUCAGUGUUAAAGCUAACGCGUUAAGUGAUCCGCCUGGGGAGUACGGUCGCAAGAUUAAAACUCAAAGGAAUUGACGGGGGUCCGCACAAGCGGUGGAACAUGUGGUUUAAUUCGACACUACGCGAGAAACCUUACCUAGACUUGACAUGUAGUCGACCGUUAUGGAAACAUAAUUUUUCUAGUUUACUAGGACGGCUACACAGGUGCUGCAUGGCUGUCGUCAGCUCGUGUCGUGAGAUGUUGGGUUAAGUCCUUUAACGAGCGCAACCCCUACCGUUAGUUGCUAGCCUUCGGGCGCACUCUAGCGGAACUGCCUUGGAAACAAGGAGGAAGGUGGGGAUGACGUCAAGUCCUCAUGGCCCUUAUGUCUAGGGCUACACACGUGUUACAAUGGCGAGUACAACGGGAAGCAAAGCUGCGAAGCCUAGCCAAUCCUUUAAAGCUCGCCCAAGUUCGGAUUGGAGUCUGAAAUUCGACUCCAUGAAGUUGAAAUCGCUAGUAAUCGCGUAUCAGAACGACGCGGUGAAUACGUUCUCGGACCUUGUACACACCGCCCGUCACACCACGAAAGUCGUCUACACCCGAAGUCGCUUUAGCUAACCCGUAAGGGAGGCGAGUGCCGAAGGUGUGGGUGGUGAUUGGGGUGAAGUCGAAACAAGGUA